GCGGGUGUUGCCCAUGGUGGGCCGCCGGCCUUCCAAGCCGCGCAGUGAGGGUUCGAUUCCCUCCGCCCGCUCCA
RNAcentral lists this transfer RNA (74 nucleotides) under Achromobacter ruhlandii. Its description in RNAcentral is "tRNA-Gly". It matches the Rfam family "tRNA". From Rfam's summary of the family: Transfer RNA (tRNA) molecules are approximately 80 nucleotides in length. RNAcentral also lists the same sequence under 1 other name. The record is from RNAcentral. Lineage: Bacteria; Pseudomonadati; Pseudomonadota; Betaproteobacteria; Burkholderiales; Alcaligenaceae.